This 401-nucleotide ribosomal RNA is filed under the name uncultured bacterium. RNAcentral's name for it is "bacterial SSU rRNA". It matches the Rfam family "Bacterial small subunit ribosomal RNA", at positions 28 to 396 of the family's 1533-position model. The record is from RNAcentral.
GACGAACGCUGGCGGCGUGCCUAAUACAUGCAAGUCGAACGCACUCUCGUUUAGAUUGAAGGAGCUUGCUCCUGAUUGAUAAACAUUUGAGUGAGUGGCGGACGGUGAGUAACACGUGGGUAACCUGCCCUAAAGUGGGGGAUAACAUUUGGAAACAGAUGCUAAUACCGCAUAAAACCUAACACCGCAUGGUGUAGGGUUGAAAGAUGGUUUCGGCUAUCACUUUAGGAUGGACCCGCGGUGCAUUAGUUAGUUGGUGAGGUAAAGGCUCACCAAGACCGUGAUGCAUAGCCGACCUGAGAGGGUAAUCGGCCACACUGGGACUGAGACACGGCCCAGACUCCUACGGGAGGCAGCAGUAGGGAAUCUUCCACAAUGGACGAAAGUCUGAUGGAGCAACG